GAUGAAGAAAGUAGCGAAAUGCGAUAAGUAAUGUGAAUUGCAGAAUUCAGUGAAUCAUCGAAUCUUUGAACGCACAUUGCGCCCCUUGGUAUUCCGAGGGGCAUGCCUGUUCGAGCGUCAUUAUAACCCCUCAAGCUCAGCUUGGUGUUGGGGCCUGCUGCACUGGCAGCCCUUAAAAUCAGUGGCGGCGCCAUCUGGCUCUAAGCGUAGUAAUUCUUCUCGCUAUGGAGUCCUGGUGGAUGCUUGCCAUCAACCCCCAAUUUUUCUAUGGUUGACCUCGGAUCAGGUAGGGAUACCCGCUGAACUUAAGCAUAUCAAUAAGCGGAGGA
Molecule: unclassified non-coding RNA, 329 nt
Filed under: soil metagenome
Description: partial contains 5.8S ribosomal RNA, internal transcribed spacer 2, and large subunit ribosomal RNA
Rfam family: 5.8S ribosomal RNA (bases 1-120)
Source: RNAcentral